RNAcentral lists this ribosomal RNA (259 nucleotides) under uncultured Leptotrichia sp. RNAcentral describes it as "partial 16S ribosomal RNA". It matches the Rfam family "Bacterial small subunit ribosomal RNA", at positions 97 to 356 of the family's 1533-position model. Lineage: Bacteria; Fusobacteriati; Fusobacteriota; Fusobacteriia; Fusobacteriales; Leptotrichiaceae. The record is from RNAcentral.
GGCGGACGGGUGAGUAACGCGUAAAGAACUUGCCCUUUAGACUGGGAUAACAGAGGGAAACUUCUGAUAAUACUGGAUAAGUUAGUAUAUCGCAUGAUAUACAAAUGAAAGCUACGGCACUAAAGGAGAGCUUUGCGUCCUAUUAGCUAGUUGGUAAGGUAAGAGCUUACCAAGGCGAUGAUAGGUAGCCGGCCUGAGAGGGUGGACGGCCACAAGGGGGACUGAGAUACGGCCCUUACUCCUACGGGAGGCAGCAGCG